GGUUAAGCGACUAAGCGUACACGGUGGAUGCCUAGGCAAUCAGAGGCGAUGAAGGACGUGCUAAUCUGCGAAAAGCGUCGGUAAGGUGAUAUGAACCGUUAUAACCGACGAUAUCCGAAUGGGGAAACCCAGUGCAAUUCGUUGCACUAUCGUUUGAUGAAUACAUAGUCAAACGAGGCGAACCGAGGGAACUGAAACAUCUCAGUACCUCGAGGAAAAGAAAUCAACCGAGAUUCCCCUAGUAGCGGCGAGCGAACGGGGAGCAGCCCAGAGUCUUAAUCAGCAUUAGCAUCAGGAGAACAGUCUGGAAAGGCUGGCAGUAAAGGGUGAUAGCCCCGUAUCCGAAGGUGUUAGUGUUGUGAACUCGACGAGUAGGGCGGGACACGUGUUAUCCUGUCUGAAUAUGGGGGGACCAUCCUCCAAGGCUAAAUACUCCUGAUUGACCGAUAGUGAACCAGUACCGUGAGGGAAAGGCGAAAAGAACCCCGGCGAGGGGAGUGAAAUAGAACCUGAAACCGUGUACGUACAAGCAGUGGGAGCACCCUUCGGGGUGUGACUGCGUACCUUUUGUAUAAUGGGUCAGCGACUUAUAUUCUGUAGCAAGGUUAACCGAAUAGGGGAGCCGUAGGGAAACCGAGUCUUAACUGGGCGAAUGAGUUGCAGGGUAUAGACCCGAAACCCGGUGAUCUAGCCAUGGGCAGGUUGAAGGUUGGGUAACACUAACUGGAGGACCGAACCGACUAAUGUUGAAAAAUUAGCGGAUGACUUGUGGCUGGGGGUGAAAGGCCAAUCAAACCGGGAGAUAGCUGGUUCUCCCCGAAAGCUAUUUAGGUAGCGCCUCGUGAACUCAUCUUCGGGGGUAGAGCACUGUUUCGACUAGGGGGUCAUCCCGACUUACCAACUCGAUGCAAACUACGAAUACCGAAGAAUGUUAUCACGGGAGACACACGGCGGGUGCUAACGUUCGUCGUGAAGAGGGAAACAACCCAGACCGCCAGCUAAGGUCCCAAAGUCAUAGUUAAGUGGGAAACGAAGUGGGAAGGCUCAGACAGCCAGGAUGUUGGCUUAGAAGCAGCCAUCAUUUAAAGAAAGCGUAAUAGCUCACUGGUCGAGUCGGCCUGCGCGGAAGAUGUAACGGGGCUAAACUAUGCACCGAAGCUGCGGCAGCGAUAUUAGAUAUUGUUGGGUAGGGGAGCGUUCUGUAAGCCUGUGAAGGUGUACUGUGAGGUAUGCUGGAGGUAUCAGAAGUGCGAAUGCUGACAUAAGUAACGAUAAUGCGGGUGAAAAACCCGCACGCCGGAAGACCAAGGGUUCCUGUCCAACGUUAAUCGGGGCAGGGUGAGUCGACCCCUAAGGCGAGGCAGAAAUGCGUAGUCGAUGGGAAACGGGUUAAUAUUCCCGUACUGGUGAUAAUUGCGAUGGGGGGACGGAGAAGGUUAGGCUGGCCGGGCGACGGUUGUCCCGGUUUAAGGAUGUAGGCAGGUGAAUUAGGCAAAUCCGGUUCACUACAUGCUGAGGUCUGAUGACGAGCCACUACGGUGGUGAAGUAGCUCAUACCCCGCUUCCAGGAAAAGCCUCUAAGCUCUAGAUUAUCAUUAAUCGUACCCCAAACCGACACAGGUGGUCAGGUAGAGAAUACUCAGGCGCUUGAGAGAACUCGGGUGAAGGAACUAGGCAAAAUGGUGCCGUAACUUCGGGAGAAGGCACGCUGGCGCUAGGUGAAGUGGUUUACCCAUGGAGCUGAAGCCAGUCGCAGAUACCAGCUGGCUGCAACUGUUUAUUAAAAACACAGCACUGUGCAAACACGAAAGUGGACGUAUACGGUGUGACGCCUGCCCGGUGCUGGAAGGUUAAUUGAUGGGGUUAUCCGUAAGGAGAAGCUCUUGAUCGAAGCCCCAGUAAACGGCGGCCGUAACUAUAACGGUCCUAAGGUAGCGAAAUUCCUUGUCGGGUAAGUUCCGACCUGCACGAAUGGCGUAAUGAUGGCCAGGCUGUCUCCACCCGAGACUCAGUGAAAUUGAACUCGCUGUGAAGAUGCAGUGUACCCGCGGCAAGACGGAAAGACCCCGUGAACCUUUACUAUAGCUUGACACUGAACAUUGAGCCUUGAUGUGUAGGAUAGGUGGGAGGCUUCGAAGCGUGGACGCCAGUCUGCGUGGAGCCAACCUUGAAAUACCACCCUUUAAUGUUUGAUGUUCUAACGUUGCCCCGUAAUCCGGGGUGCGGACAGUGUCUGGUGGGUAGUUUGACUGGGGCGGUCUCCUCCCAAAGAGUAACGGAGGAGCACGAAGGUUGGCUAAGCAUGGUCGGACAUCAUGCGGUUAGUGCAAAGGCAUAAGCCAGCUUGACUGCGAGAGUGACGGCUCGAGCAGGUACGAAAGUAGGUCUUAGUGAUCCGGUGGUUCUGAAUGGAAGGGCCAUCGCUCAACGGAUAAAAGGUACUCCGGGGAUAACAGGCUGAUACCGCCCAAGAGUUCAUAUCGACGGCGGUGUUUGGCACCUCGAUGUCGGCUCAUCACAUCCUGGGGCUGAAGUAGGUCCCAAGGGUACGGCUGUUCGCCGUUUAAAGUGGUACGCGAGCUGGGUUUAGAACGUCGUGAGACAGUUCGGUCCCUAUCUGCCGUGGGCGUUGGAAGAUUGAAAGGGGCUGCUCCUAGUACGAGAGGACCGGAGUGGACGCACCACUGGUGUUCGGGUUGUCAUGCCAAUGGCAUUGCCCGGUAGCUAAGUGCGGAAAAGAUAACCGCUGAAAGCAUCUAAGCGGGAAACUUGCCUUGAGAUGAGUCUUCCCUGACCCUUUAAGGGUCCUAAAGGAACGUUUAAGACUAAGACGUUGAUAGGUUGGGUGUGUAAGCGUAGCGAUACGUUGAGCUAACCAAUACUAAUGAACCGUGAGGCUUAACCUG
RNAcentral lists this ribosomal RNA (2906 nucleotides) under Providencia stuartii. RNAcentral describes it as "23S ribosomal RNA". It matches the Rfam family "Bacterial large subunit ribosomal RNA". The record is from RNAcentral. Lineage: Bacteria; Pseudomonadati; Pseudomonadota; Gammaproteobacteria; Enterobacterales; Morganellaceae.